Molecule: ribosomal RNA, 420 nt
Filed under: uncultured organism
Description: bacterial SSU rRNA
Rfam family: Bacterial small subunit ribosomal RNA
Source: RNAcentral
GUGCAGCAGGCGCGAAUCUUCGGCAAUGGGGGAAACCCUGACCGAGCGACGCCGCGUGUGGGAUGAAGGCCCUUGGGUUGUAAACCACUGUCAGAGGGGAUGAAAUGCCGGAAAGUUAUCUCUCCGGUUUGACAUAGCCUCAGAGGAAGCACGGGCUAAGUUCGUGCCAGCAGCCGCGGUAAGACGAACUGUGCAAACGUUAUUCGGAAUCACUGGGCUUGAAGAGUGCGUAGGCGGUUUCGUAAGUAGGGUGUGAAAGCCCCCGGCUCAACCGGGGAAUUGCGUCCUAAACUGCGAGGCUGGAGUGAGGUAGGGUGUGUGGAACUUCCAGUGGAGCGGUGAAAUGUGUUGAUAUUGGAAGGAACGCCGGUGGCGAAAGCGACACACUGGACCUUGUCUGACGCUGAGGCACGAAAGCCA